UCUUUCCUACGGGACGCAGCAGUCGAGAAUCAUUCACAAUGGGGGGAAACCCUGAUGGUGCGACGCCGCGUGGGGGAAUGAAGGUCUUCGGAUUGUAAACCCCUGUCAUGUGGGAGCAAAUUAAAAAGAUAGUACCACAAGAGGAAGAGACGGCUAACUCUGUGCCAGCAGCCGCGGUAAUACAGAGGUCUCAAGCGUUGUUCGGAAUCACUGGGCGUAAAGCGUGCGUAGGCUGUUUCGUAAGUCGUGUGUGAAAGGCGCGGGCUCAACCCGCGGCCGGCACAUGAUACUGCGAGUGUAGAGCA
RNAcentral lists this ribosomal RNA (305 nucleotides) under uncultured bacterium. RNAcentral's name for it is "bacterial SSU rRNA". It matches the Rfam family "Bacterial small subunit ribosomal RNA", at positions 333 to 648 of the family's 1533-position model. The record is from RNAcentral.